This 60-nucleotide transfer RNA is filed under the name Schistosoma haematobium. RNAcentral describes it as "tRNA-Cys". Lineage: Eukaryota; Metazoa; Platyhelminthes; Trematoda; Strigeidida; Schistosomatidae. The record is from RNAcentral.
AUAGUAUGAUUUUGGUAUUUUGCAAAAGUACUUUUGAUGAAUAUUUAAUCAUCCAUACUU